This 1955-nucleotide long non-coding RNA is filed under the name Anas platyrhynchos platyrhynchos (common mallard). Its description in RNAcentral is "lncRNA (ENSAPLG00000018601.1)". The record is from RNAcentral. Lineage: Eukaryota; Metazoa; Chordata; Aves; Anseriformes; Anatidae.
CAGUCACUUCACGGGAUUCCACCAAGCAGCUGUGACCUGAAAGUUGGGUCUCUGCGCUUUUAAGCUCUCCUUUGCACCAGGGUUGCCUCCACCCAUCAUUUCCAGGUCUACUUCAUUUAGUACUCUUGUUAAAUACAUCAUGUGUUUCUUGUUUAACCCAUAAAUAGGAAACAAAGUUCCUAAAAACUUUAAAAACAUCCAUUUCCAGGCCUCCACUCUUGAGGGCAAUUUUACUAGCAGUCUUGCUAUUCAAGCAAAUAGACAUGACUCAUUAAGUGUUCUUUUUUUUUUUUUAUUUCACACAAAGAGAUCUACAUGAAACAUCUCAGUUUCCAUUUUCUUCCCAGUAUCCAGAAAAAUGGCACCAACUUUUUGAGUUCCAGGUCCCCCCUGCUCAGCUGCAUUACCAAGCACAAAAUCUAUUCCUGUGUGUCUGUCUGCUCGGCAAACUUUUCUUUACUUAGCCCUGUAUUUACACAUUUCUUGAUCUUUUUGUUUUCUUCCAGGGGCUUUCCAGUCCUUAAAACUCCAGGUUUUCAUCCACAGACAAGCCACAUGUUUGGCACUCCCAGGCUGAUUUCAAGAUGGACAGACCAAUGGCCAUUAAGAACAUACCUUUCUUCAUCCUAGUGCCUGAUUCAGCUUCUUUUAGGUUAUAAAAUCAAAGGAUUCCUUAUAAACUACAUGGGGGUAAUUGGGACAAAUGAAAAAAAUGAUCAUUGCUUUUGUUGUACUGAAUAUGUUUGUGUAAUACACAAACAUAGAUGUUUUUGUGUGUGUCCUAUAUAUAUAAUGUAUGAUUUAAAGUCUAGUAAAGGGUGUUAGGACAGACUGAGCUGGAUGGAUGUAUCAGAUAUAUCUAGACAGUGCUAUUUCCCUUGGCAAGGUCGUCCACAUUCUAGUGAUCUGCAGCCUGAACUUGUCCUGAGUAUCCUCAUUGUAAUAAUUCUGAAUUUUUUUUUUACAUGAAUUUUCCCAGUUGCUUUCUGAACGCAUGUAAAAUUUGGCAUCUACUACACUGACCUCCCACGACAAUCAAGUGCACAGUUUAGCUCUUCACAGUGUACUUAAAUUCCUCCUCUUUUUGUGUCUGAGACAUCUUAGUUAGAUUUUAUGUUCUUCUGAUGUUGUAAGACUCAGUGAAUAAUAACUUUCUAUCUGUCUCUUCUUUCUGCUCAUGUUUUCAUCAUGUCCCUCACAUCUAUCCCUCUGUUAUGUUUUUUCCAAGCUGAAGUGUUCUUCUCUAGUUAGUUGUCUUUCAUACAGAAGCUGGUCCUCUGAUCAUCCUUCCUCUUUCCAGCCUAUUUUAAUGUUACAAUAUACUUUUCAAGACUGAAGAGAUAGAACCAUCUGUAUUAUUGAAGUUAUGGUCAGAAUAGGUUUAAAUAAUCAUGUAGUGAAGUUUGCUGCUGUUGUCAUCAUCCUAGUGCUUCCUACCAUUCAUCUUAUUUGCUUGACUCUUCUUAUUUGCUUGACCAGUACAGAGUGUUGAGCUAACAUUAUGAAUAUGACGUGUAGAUCUUUUUUCUAAACACGUCAAAUUGCAUUUAUCAACUUGAAAUAUAUCUGCCUUUUUAUUGCUUCAUACAAUCCAUUGGCAAUACUCUAGACAUUUUGGGCUUACUUAAGUUGAAUAGCUUAGCAUCCUUGGCAAAUUCAAAUUCUAGACCUUUUAUGCAUAUCCUGCACUUCAUAAACCCUAUUUUCCUUUUUUUUUUUUUUUUUUUCUAUGUUCACCUGUGAACUCCCCUUGUUUCUUAUUUUUCUGUGUUUUUCAGUCUCUGGAAGGACUUAUGAAAGGCCUGUGCAUAUAAAGAUAGUUUCAGGAAAGCUGAAGCUCACCUGGAGCUACUGUUUACUGGAGACAACUACAGUAACAAGAAGAGUUCCUGCUGCCUUAGCAGUUUAAAUGGUAAAAGGCUAAAUAAGAAUAAAAACAAAAAAAAAAAGUUUCA